Molecule: ribosomal RNA, 492 nt
Filed under: uncultured bacterium
Lineage: Bacteria
Description: partial 16S ribosomal RNA
Rfam family: Bacterial small subunit ribosomal RNA
Source: RNAcentral
AGUGAACGCUGGCGGUAGGCCUAACACAUGCAAGUCGAACGGCAGCACAGUAAGAGCUUGCUCUUACGGGUGGCGAGUGGCGGACGGGUGAGGAAUACAUCGGAAUCUACUUUUUCGUGGGGGAUAACGUAGGGAAACUUACGCUAAUACCGCAUACGACCUACGGGUGAAAGCAGGGGAUCUUCGGACCUUGCGCGAUUGAAUUAGCCGAUGUCGGAUUAGCUAGUUGGCGGGGUAAAGGCCCACCAAGGCGACGAUCCGUAGCUGGUCUGAGAGGAUGAUCAGCCACACUGGAACUGAGACACGGUCCAGACUCCUACGGGAGGCAGCAGUGGGGAAUAUUGGACAAUGGGCGCAAGCCUGAUUCAGCCAUACCGCGUGGGUGAAGAAGGCCUUCGGGUUGUAAAGCCCUUUUGUUGGGAAAGAAAAGCAGCAGGUUAAUACCCCGCUGUUCUGACGGUACCCAAAGAAUAAGCACCGGCUAACUUCGUG